RNAcentral lists this ribosomal RNA (270 nucleotides) under uncultured bacterium. RNAcentral's name for it is "partial 16S ribosomal RNA". It matches the Rfam family "Bacterial small subunit ribosomal RNA", at positions 501 to 770 of the family's 1533-position model. The record is from RNAcentral.
AUACGUGCCAGCAGCCGCGGUAAUACGUAUGGUGCAAGCGUUAUCCGGAUUUACUGGGUGUAAAGGGAGCGUAGACGGAGAGGCAAGUCUGAAGUGAAAGCCCGGGGCUCAACCCCGGGACUGCUUUGGAAACUGCAGUUCUAGAGUGCCGGAGAGGUAAGCGGAAUUCCUAGUGUAGCGGUGAAAUGCGUAGAUAUUAGGAGGAACACCAGUGGCGAAGGCGGCUUACUGGACGGUGACUGACGUUGAGGCUCGAAAGCGUGGGGAGCA